Molecule: ribosomal RNA, 301 nt
Filed under: uncultured bacterium
Lineage: Bacteria
Description: partial 16S ribosomal RNA
Rfam family: Bacterial small subunit ribosomal RNA
Source: RNAcentral
CAGUAGCCGCGGGAAAACGAAGGGGGCUAGCGUUGUUCGGAUUUACUGGGCGUAAAGCGCACGUAGGCGGACUUUUAAGUCAGGGGUGAAAUCCCGGGGCUCAACCCCGGAACUGCCUUUGAUACUGGGAGUCUUGAGUUCGAGAGAGGUGAGUGGAAUUGCGAGUGUAGAGGUGAAAUUCGUAGAUAUUCGCAGGAACACCAGUGGCGAAGGCGGCUCACUGGCUCGAUACUGACGCUGAGGUGCGAAAGCGUGGGGAGCAAACAGGAUUAGAUACCCGCGUAGUCCCUGUCUCUUAUAC